This is a long non-coding RNA of Suricata suricatta (meerkat), 3531 nucleotides long. RefSeq lists it as uncharacterized. NCBI's taxonomy places the organism in Eukaryota, Metazoa, Chordata, Mammalia, Carnivora, Herpestidae. The transcript has 2 exons. The record is from RefSeq and is a predicted model, not a curated record.
AAUCGUGAGAUCAUGACAUGAGCCAAAAUCAAGAGUCAGAUACCUAACCGACUGAGCCACCUGGGGGCCCCUAACCCUGCAGUCUAAUCUAAUCAAUGGCACAUCUUAAUUUUGGUCACUGGGAAAGACGAGGCUCUGACGAGUCCUGUGGCUUCUCGUACUCCCAGGUGGACACAGGGCAGCCCCUCAAAGUCCCAGCAAGGAGGGAGGCGCCAGGGUGAGGAGUGAGCUGAGGAGACUCAGACACAUUCUGAUACAUCAGCUACCUUCACGCCAUUUUUUUCUUGACCUGCAUCCCACAGACUUCAUUUUUGCCAAAAAUUUCAGUCUCUCUCUUGUUAAAUUCCUCAGCCUCGUCUGCCUUCAUGGUGCUUUCAUUGAAUCGCUCCCAUGUGCCCACCUGAGGCCCUACAAUCUGUCCAGGCCUCUCUGCCCACUCCUGCCUUGAAGGAUGGUGAUGACCAUCCCUAUUUUUGUUUAUUUACUGGCUACAUAUGUGCCAGGCAGCGUUCUGAUCACUUGGCAUGUGUUAGCUCAUUUCAUCCUCCCCACAAAUGCGUGGGAGUGCCCAUUUCACAGAUGAGGAAACUGAGCACCAGCAAGGUUAAGGCUAACCCACGUCUAAAGCUAGCACUAUACCACCUGGCACUUAAAUACUCAUCUACUUAUAUUAACCUCCAAGUAGACUAUCUCUCUCGUCUUCUCAACUAGAGUGAAUCUCUUAAUGACUCACACCAUGCUUCUAUUUCUUCCCUAUGCCCAGUGGCACCAAGCAUGAAGCAGGUAAGUACUUGCUCAAGAACCUUCAAUGGCUCCCUAUUGCCUACGGGGAGAGGGGAAGAUCUUACUUUUCCCUAGGAAUUACAGAGCAGUGAACCUUGGGCUUCAGUGUGGACUGAGUUCCGGAAGAGAGGCCUGUCUCCUCCAUCACAGCAGCCCAGAGCCCAGAGCCCAGGUGCAGGCUGGAACACACAGUGGCAGAGGAAAUGCUUGCAGGAUGGACAUCAGCGUGCACGUGCGUUCUCACCCCCGUUACUAAGUGAGCUUGAGGAAAUCCGAUAACCUCCUUAAGCCUCAGAUUUUGUUCUCAGUUUUAUCUAUCAAUUUGAAAUACAAAUCCUUUAUUGCCUGAUAGGAUUCGUGGAAGGUAAGACCAAAUGAGAUAAUGGGUGUAAAAACCCUUUUGGAAGUUAUCAAACCCAUCCAAAGACACAAGUUGUUACCCGGAUCAUCCUGGGCUUACAAAGUUCUUCCCCCAGGAGCCAAUCUCACUUCUCAGUUUCCUUGCGCACUCAAUCAGGCUUGACCACCAUGCCAAAGUGUUUGUUGGCUCUGGUGGCUGGCAAGCGUGUUCUGCAAAAGACCAGGUACUAAAAACUUCAGGCUUUGCCGGCCGUACAGUCUUUGUUGCAGCUACUUAACUCUGCCACUGUAGCACAAAGCAGCCACAGGACGAGCAUGGCUGUGUUUCAAUAAAACUUUAUUUGUGGCAUCUGGCGCAUGAGCAGUAGUGCUCACCUCUGCUCUACACCACUGGGCGGUCUCUCCUGCUUAGAAUACACAGCUUCCAUGUCCCCUAGUGCCCUCGCCCACAGCGGUGUCCUCCUUCCCUGCUCUCCUAACAGAGAUCUCUGACAUUUUAAUUCCCAGAGGAAGGUGUAUACAGGUUUGUACUGGACGCUGCCUUUCUUCUAAAUGAUACUCCUGCCGAGAGCCGUGUACUUCCUGUGUUUCCCCAUGUACUUCCCGUGUUUCCGCACACCCCCAGUCCUCACUCUCACUUAAUAGACAUGUUGCACAAGUAGGCGAAGGCUUCAUCGCCUCCCCGGAGUUGUGCUUACACUCUCCCCGUCUCCCAGGAGGCGGCAAGCUGGCUGAGGAAGGGAUGCCCGUGGGCAGCAGGGCUCACUCACCGGCUCAGGGACUGACUCCCAAACCCCAGCACCGUGGCCCCAACGCCUCAGAUUCCUGUCGUCGCCAAGCUGCAAAUUACCACAUGCCACGGGCCUCUGCAGCCGCUGGCUGGCAAAUCCGCCACUGCAAGGACCACGGAGGUGCCUUCGCAGCCCGAGUGGCUGCACGUGGAUCUAAUUACAUGCUGCCUUUAUUGUUUAAUUAUUAUUUCACAUGUGUUAAUCCCAUCCUCCCAAUUAGGUGCUCCCUGGAGGGAAACAAACAUGCUGUCUGAUGACUGUGCUUCUGACCUAUCCCCUGCAAGGCUCUGCCAAGCUCCGUGGGGACCUCCAAGGAGGAGGCAGGGAGAGGGUGGAGUGGCCUGGGUGGCGCCCAGCCCAGAGCCCCGCCACGGACUGCAGUCAGGCCUAGGACAUGUCCUGCUGCCCUGCACCCCGAGGGGCUGACGCCAAGGCAGGGGCCGCACGGGUCGCAGACUUUGGCUGGCUGGCCAGCCAGUCCUUCCUGUGGCUCAGCUCUUUACAGCUUCCUGGUAAGAACCAGCGCAGCACCACCAUGACUGGUGACCUCCGAUGACCUCCGGCAAGUCACUUCCCCUCUCAGGGCCUCAGUUUCCUCAUCUGUGAAAUCACGAAGUGAGACCCCUCUGCAGCUCUACGUGUUUACACCGGAGGGUGGUUUCUUUCAUCACUGCUUCCUCUUCUAUUUCAGAGAACCGGGGGUGGGGCAGGGGCCCCUCCGAGGAUGGCUGGCCUGCCUGCCUCGCGGUGGUAACAACUGCUCUAAGAUGGUAUAAGAGUGUUUCUAACCUCCACGGCCUUACUUGUCUCAUCACUGGCCAUUUGCUUUCUCUGCUCGUCUGCAAGUCACCAUGUUGGCCAAGCUCAAGGCCCAAAGCCAUGGUAUACUCCUGAAGUCAUCAGCUGGGAGCUGGGUACUGACUCGCCUUCGGAGCCGUCCAUCCCCACCUCCACACUGCUUCCUCGCUCUCAUACAUGGGCCUCCCUGCACAAGAACACUCUGAAAAGGGGGUCCUCAGCUUCCUGGCCAAUCGCAUGUGCUCUGAGAGCACAGAGUUAGAGCCGGCAGAGUCACUAGGCCAUGGGGCGCGGGGUAGUGGCUUUAAGAGACCAGCUCGUGUGUUAAUUUGCAGGCCCUUUCCUGGGCUGUGCAGGCCGUGGGGGCCCUCUCCCACUAUGUGCCUGCUCCAGCUCACUGGAGCUCCUACAAGUUCACGGCGUUCGGCACCGUAAGUGGCUGUGAUAAUUCAGAGGCAGAGAGCGCACGUGGGAGCCAGCGCGCAGCGCCCAGCACACAUGCGCAACCCUGCGUACUACAAGUGGGGACUAGCGGCGGCCUCCGGGACACCAGUGCCCCCUGUCCCACGGGAAGAAGGGCAGUCCCUGUGGGCGUCUUCUAACUGGAGACCCCACCUAUGCCCUCAGCUUUGCCAGCCGGGUGGUGCUGGGUGCUGGGGCCUCUUCCCCAGCCCACACAGGUCCUCUUGUUGCUGUGCUGCCCUCCUGGCUAACCCCACCCCACAUCACUGCUUAGGGACUACUUUGUGAUACUGAAACGUGUCUUAGGUGAUUAUUAAGUAACUCUGAGUCUUCUCAA